UUUAGUCCUCUAUUUCACAUACCAUGAUCAUUGAACUUAGUAACCAAAUAUUACAUCUGGAUGGUGCAUAUAAUUCAAAGAAAAAGCAGUUGAAUUGGGCAAGAAGGUUUAAGAUCAUUGAGGGCAUCAUUCGAGGACUUCUUUAUCUUCACGAAGAUUCAUCAUUGGCAACUACCAUACCACCCACGUGCCACCUCAUACCUCUUUCAUUCCUCCCUUUCUUUUAUCCUCUUCCCCCACGACUUUUCCCUUUCUCUCCUUCCUUUUUCUCUUUUCUAUUUCUCUCCGACGACAGAAGAGAAGAGAGAUCACAACAGCCCCUCCCUUCCCUCUCUUUCUCUUCUUCCUUGUUCUCCUUCAUCUGAGUAGCACCACCGGAGCUCGCUGAAGCUUGCUGGAAAAAAGAGGGGAAGGAACCCUAGCUUUUGCCCUCUUUUGGCAACAAGAGCAGCAAGUUGUUGCUCUCUUUUCCAACCAAUCACAACUGUUGUUGGAACUCCGCCGGAGCUAACUGUGGUCACGCCGAACUCGCCGAGGCUACGGGUAAAGAGAGAAAGAUCAUCUAUUUCCGUGCUCUUUUGUUUUCAGCCCUCCCUUCUCCUCCGAUAGCUUCAACAACAGCCCUAGUUGCUGUCCUGUUCUUGGCAGCACCGCCGGAGUUCGCUGGAGCUAGCUGAGACGGCCAGCGACAAACCCUAGUUGCUGCCCUCUUCUUCCAGGAACCACAGUGAUCCAUAGAAGACACGAGCUCGAGUGGAGCGCGGUGACCUGCCGACACCGCAGAUUUUGCUGUAUAUAAGGUGGAUACAUCUACUUUUGUAUAUUUCCUUGUGCAUGAAUAAAUAUAUAAAUUGGAUUAUAUAUAUGUUGUAUCAUUGUUUUCAAAAUGGGGAUUAAACUGAUAUUACAAAUAGCGAAAUGAGUUAAAAUAUUAAUAUUAUUUUUUUUGGGGGGGGGGGGGGUGGUGGUAAAUAAUUGAUAUUAUUUCUUGUUCACAUGUGGGUUCAUAUUGGGAUUUAUAUGGGAAGGGUUGUUUUUAAAAUUAAAGAAAUAUUCUGAAUUACUCUUCUGUUGAUACCUUGUCUUCUUGACUUGCUUGACCAUUCAUACUUCAUGCUUUUGAUACUCUAUAUGUUGAUACUUGUAAUUUUAUCUGUGGACCCUAUAAUGAUAAAUUAAUAGACUUGAUACGAAAAUAUUACCUUGAUUGACCAUUCAAUAUGAAAAGAGAAUAAUCAUGAUAAAUGGAUAAAUAUAAUCAUAAAGGUGAAAUAAUAAAGUUAGUAAAUGAAGAAUAUUAAAAAGUGAAGACGGUGAGCCUAGCUUUGUAUCAGAAUUUCAUAUUAGAGUACUGGACCACCCACAUAUUAUUGUGGUAGCGCGGCGGCCCGUGGUCCAGAGUACCUGAUCGUACACCCGAGGCAUGAUGGAGUGAUAUAGCUCUCAGUCAGUGUUUAUUAUGUCUUCCACCGGUGAGGGCUGAUAGCCCGUACGUCAGAUGACGUAUUCGAUAGUCUUAUACUCUGAGGAGGCUUUUAGCCUAUCCAUAUGAUAUUACACUCUGAUGAUAUUGGCUCUAGUGAUUCACUUUUUAGUUGAUUUAUCAUAUUCAGACUAUUGAAACAGAUGUUGAUAUUACCAUGAUAACUUAUAACCGAGUGAUUAAAUAAUAUGAUUGAAGAAUUGAUCUUAACUGAUGAUAAUAUAUGAAGAUGAAUUUUAAUUUUAACAAAUAAAUGUAGAUGAUCAUAACUAUAUACUUAUGUAUAUUAUCUGAGAACUCAAAGAAGAAAGAAAAGUUGAAAUAAUAAAUGAUACCUCUUUGAUAUCUUAAACAAGAUUAAAUUCAUGCACAUCUUUCUUGAGUAUCCACUUAGCCAUUUGGCUAACUUUCUACCUUACUUGGCCUCUAGUUUUGUAGGCAUAGGGAUCCUUUUGAUAUUGUAGUUGAUUUUGGACUUUCAUAGAGUUGCUCAGAGAUCUCGACGUGCUGAUUUUCUAGUUUGUUUUACUUUUGUUUUCGUUGUAUUUACAUUUUGUAAUUUUAUUUCAGAUGUCGUUUAUUUGUAUAGUUUUGUAGUAUACGAAGCAUAUGAGAUAUACAUGUAUAAGUUGAUA
Long non-coding RNA from Zingiber officinale, 2118 nucleotides. RefSeq lists it as uncharacterized. The record is from RefSeq and is a predicted model, not a curated record. Lineage: Eukaryota; Viridiplantae; Streptophyta; Magnoliopsida; Zingiberales; Zingiberaceae. The transcript is spliced from 2 exons.